UAUAGCUAAAUCUAAAUUUUGACGAAGUGACUACCACGACAAACUUCCUCGUUCCAUUCCCUUACAUGGUCAAACUUCGUACUCGUUGUCGUAGUCGUACUCUUGCUAAAGGCGGAUCUCCACUAGACGAUUUUAGAGACGAUUUUAUGCACGAUUGUCAAAAUUUUCGCAACGAUUUUUUUAGCAAUGGAAAUGCAUGAAUAAAAAUAUCACCAAAAUGAGAAACCACUGAUCUGAUAAUAGACUGGAUAUAGCUUCCACAGGUAGCAAAAGGGUGAUUGCUAGAUAGUAUACUUCAAAAUAAGAUUUCCGCUGGGAGACUGGUGCGAGUUUUGCAAUAUCUUCGGAAAAAAGAAACGAGAGCAUCACGAAUAACGAACAAAGAUAGAGCGAUAAACCCUGGGUAAACCUAUUAUCAAUGAGAAUAGUUUAGUGUAGGAGUUUUAUUGUGAUGAAGUUGUUGGUAUUUGAUUGAAUCAGUAUGCUAGAAAUUCAUUCUCCUCAAGAUUCUUGUUUUGGUAGUGAAUCUUGAAGAAUUAUUCCUGCUUCCUGUGGUGCAGAGUUUCGUGCUUCUUCUAGCAAUGUAUUAAGACCAUUGGAAUAUUUUCGAGCGAGUUAUCUGCUGGAACUAUGGUGUUAUCUAGAUGAAAAGUGGAUUUUCUCGAUAAAGUGGGCUGAGUCUAUCCCAUUUCCACUCUGGAAAAGCUCUUAUGCAAGCACAGAAGUGUUUGCACAAAAGUUUGUUGUGUCUCCAGUCUACGCAGGUGCAGUUUGGAAGCGUUUGUUCAUCACCAAAAAGUACGAUAUGGUGCUCCUUCCCUGUUGAACUUUUUACUUCAAAGACCCCUGGGGACACCAUGUGGACCAUGUCUUUGCUAAUGUCACUAUCCCAACGCUUCAUAAUAUGAGACACCAUUCUGGCAGGUCUGUUGUGCAGAAAUUUUGGAAGUUCCUCAUUAUAAGCACGGUAACCUUCGUGACAUUUAACAUUUAGCUCAGCAUAUCUAAAAUUGUAAAAGGAAAACGUCACUCACGAAUAUUAUUACAUCUUAUUAGAAUCCAAAGAUGACUAAAGUCGACAGUAAGUGCCGCUGUAGUUAGCCUAAUCACACCUUUCAAUAAUUUGUUAAUUAAGCAGUUGUUUUUUCAAAAGAAGGGGCCUGUGUCACACAACAAAAACAAUACGAAAUGAAUUUUUCCUUCAAAACUGGUAUUUUUUCGUUAUAAAAACAUAGAAUCAUUAUAGUAUUGUGAAGUAUUAAAAAUUUUACUUUUUGAAGGUAUUUGGGAGAAACCGAUCAACAAGUGCUGUCAGCAUAUCACUUAAGGAGCACCCUUUAUUCCCAUGGAGGUACUCAUAUUUGAAUGCCUUAUUCUGUCUUUCAAUGCCAUUGUUCGUGUUCACUGCACAAAUGAAAUCUCCUGUCCGAUACGCUUGACACCAUCUCUGUAAGAAAACGAUCAAUACAGUAUAUUUUGCAUGUUCUGCUAGUACAUAGUAUUUUAUUUGAGAUUAUGAAAUAAUACAACGAUAUAAGCCCUGGA
Xenia sp. Carnegie-2017 is the source of this 1545-nucleotide long non-coding RNA. RefSeq lists it as uncharacterized. The transcript is spliced from 3 exons. The record is from RefSeq and is a predicted model, not a curated record. NCBI's taxonomy places the organism in Eukaryota, Metazoa, Cnidaria, Anthozoa, Malacalcyonacea, Xeniidae.